UGCGUAGGUGGGUUGGUAAGUCAGUGGUGAAAUCUCCGGGCUUAACUUGGAAACUGCCAUUGAUACUAUCAAUCUUGAAUACCGUGGAGGUCAGCGGAAUAUGUCAUGUAGCGGUGAAAUGCUUAGAUAUGACAUAGAACACCAAUUGCGAAGGCAGCUGGCUACACGAAUAUUGACACUGAUGCACGAAAGCGUGGGGAUCAAACAGGAUUAGAUACCCUGGUAGUCCACGCCCUAAACGAUGGAUACUCGACAUACGCGAUAUACUGUGUGUGUCUGAGCGAAAGCAUUAAGUAUCCCACCUGGGAAGUACGAUCGCAAGAUUGAA
RNAcentral lists this ribosomal RNA (328 nucleotides) under uncultured bacterium. Its description in RNAcentral is "bacterial SSU rRNA". It matches the Rfam family "Bacterial small subunit ribosomal RNA", at positions 568 to 898 of the family's 1533-position model. The record is from RNAcentral.